RNAcentral lists this ribosomal RNA (479 nucleotides) under uncultured bacterium. RNAcentral's name for it is "partial 16S ribosomal RNA". It matches the Rfam family "Bacterial small subunit ribosomal RNA", at positions 28 to 523 of the family's 1533-position model. The record is from RNAcentral.
GACGAACGCUGGCGGCGUGCUUAACACAUGCGAGUCGAACGGUAAGGCCCUUCGGGGUACACGAGUGGCGAACGGGUGAGUAACACGUGGGUGAUCUGCCCUGCACUUCGGGAUAAGCCUGGGAAACUGGGUCUAAUACCGGAUAGGACUCCUGGCUUCAUGGUUGGGGGUGGAAAGCUUUUGCGGUGUGGGAUGGGCGCCGCGGCCUAUCAGCUUGUUGGUGGGGUAAUGGCCUACCAAGGCGACGACGGGUAGCCGGCCUGAGAGGGUGACCGGUCACACGGGGACUGAGAUACGGCCCAGACUCCUACGGGAGGCAGCAGUGGGGAAUAUUGCACAAGGGGCGCAAGCCUGAUGCAGCGACGCCGCGUGAGGGAUGACGGCCUUCGGGUUGUAAACCUCUUUCAGUAGGGACGAAGCGCAAGUGACGGUACCUACAGAAGAAGGACCGGCCAACUACGUGCCAGCCGCCGCCGUAA